RNAcentral lists this transfer RNA (76 nucleotides) under Candidatus Phytoplasma luffae. RNAcentral's name for it is "tRNA-Thr". It matches the Rfam family "tRNA". From Rfam's summary of the family: Transfer RNA (tRNA) molecules are approximately 80 nucleotides in length. Lineage: Bacteria; Bacillati; Mycoplasmatota; Mollicutes; Acholeplasmatales; Acholeplasmataceae. RNAcentral also lists the same sequence under 6 other names. The record is from RNAcentral.
GCCAAAAUAGCUCAAUAGGUAGAGCAACUGACUUGUAAUCAGUAGGUUACGGGUUCGAUUCCUGUUUUUGGCACCA